CAGUCGCCACGGUAAUACAGAGGGUGCGAGCGUUAAUCGGAAUUACUGGGCGUAAAGGGCGCGUAGGCGGUUAGGAAGGUGUGAUGUGAAAUUCCUGGGCUCAACCUGGGGGCUGCGCUUGAUACUUGGUUGCUUGAGUGGGGAAGAGGGUCGUGGAAUUCCCAGUGUAGAGGUGAAAUUUGUAGAUAUUGGGAAGAACACCGGUGGCGAAGGCGGCGACCUGGUCCUUGACUGACGCUGAUGCACGAAAGCUAGGGGAGCAAACAGGAUUAGAUACCCCGGUAGUCCCUGUCUCUUAUAC
RNAcentral lists this ribosomal RNA (301 nucleotides) under uncultured bacterium. RNAcentral's name for it is "partial 16S ribosomal RNA". It matches the Rfam family "Bacterial small subunit ribosomal RNA", at positions 509 to 807 of the family's 1533-position model. The record is from RNAcentral.